CCUACGGGAGGCAGCAGUGAGGAAUAUUGGUCAAUGGGCUUACGCCUGAACCAGCCAAGUCGCGUGAGGGAAGACUGCCCUAUGGGUUGUAAACCUCUUUUGUCAGGGAGCAACGCCGGCUACGUGUAGCCGGACUGAUAGUACCUGAAGAAAAAGCAUCGGCGACCUCCGUGCCAGCAGCCCCGGUAAUACGGAGGAUGCGAGCGUUAUCCGGUUUUAUUGGGUUUAAAGGGGGCGUAGGGGGCCUUUUAAGUCAGCGGUGAAAGUCUGUGGAUCAACCAUAGAAUUGCAGUUGAAACUGGGAGGCUUGAGUAUGUUAGAGGCAGGCGGAAUGCGUGGUGUAGCGGUGAAAUGCUUAGAUAUAACGAAGAACCCCGAUUGCGAAGGCAGCUUGCCGGGCCGUGACUGACGCUGAGGCACGAAAGCGUGGGGAUCAAACAGGAUUAGAUACCCGUGUAGUC
RNAcentral lists this ribosomal RNA (461 nucleotides) under uncultured bacterium. RNAcentral's name for it is "partial 16S ribosomal RNA". It matches the Rfam family "Bacterial small subunit ribosomal RNA", at positions 338 to 795 of the family's 1533-position model. The record is from RNAcentral.